This is a long non-coding RNA of Homo sapiens (human), 542 nucleotides long. RefSeq annotates it as long independently transcribed non-coding RNA 334. Lineage: Eukaryota; Metazoa; Chordata; Mammalia; Primates; Hominidae. The record is from RefSeq and is marked validated. The transcript is spliced from 3 exons.
AGACCCGGAUGAGUCCUAGUCCCCGCCACACACAGGUCGUGGGUUCUCCUUUGAGAGUGACCACUGGUUCCUAGAGCUUUUCCUAAACUGGAGACGGAUCCUGCCCUGGGGGUCUCAGUCACCGCGAGGACUCGAGGGUAACUGCCAGAGGUCCCAGGUGGCCCGAGGGCUAUUUUAAAAUAUUUUCUGUUUCCUUGAUUUCUCCUCCUUUGGAUGUAUUGGGCUUCCUGACUCUUUGAAGAAUCUAUCCAGUGUCUUUAAGAUAGCAAAACUAAGUGUCAAAAGCACCUUCUGCACACAGUCUGCACACACUGGCCGGUGGUCCUGUUCCCGCAAGGUUGAGCUGUGUUCCAGAGACAUGGGUCCUCCGGGUGAUGAGGAGCCGCUGGAGGGCCCUGAGCUGCACGUGCUAAUGAUUAACGCCCCGUCCGUGCUGGCCGGUUUCUCAAAUGCCUCCUGACGAUUGCGCACAGCCGGACAUCAUUUGUACUGAGAGACAAAAGGAAAUCACUGAGGCUUUCUGAGGUGAGCUGGGCGGCCGC